CACUAUUGUAUCUUUUUUAUUUUUUUUAAUGGUACCCAUGAAAUUUUAUUAAAAAAGGUAUCUCCAUCACUUUUUUGGAUCGCUAAAGUCCAAAAAAGAAUGAAAACCGCAUGAAAAAACGCCAAAGUUUUUCUUGGAAAUUUUAUUCACUCCCUUAGACUUCAAUGGGAGAAAAACGCCAUGAUUUUGACAAAAAAAAAAUGCCAGUGGCUCAACAUGCUGCGAUUACCAACGAUCUGAAAAACGCCAAAAGUGAGUGGAAAAAACGCCAAAAGUAUAAAAAAAACGCUAAAGUAAAAAAUGCCAAGUGGAAUAAGAAUUUUGCGAUUUCUCAUUGAUUUACAGCUGACAUCUGGCCGCAGCAUUUUUUAGCCGAAAAAACGCCAUGCGGCAGAAUUUGAGUUUUUCUUGGUGUUUUUGCCCAAAAAAAACAAGUGGAAUUCCAACCCAUCUCCAGCUUUUGCAAAACUGCAGCUCCCAACAUGCCCAGACAGCCUUCUGUUGUUUGUGCGCCCUGAAAGUUGUAGUUUACAACAGCUGAAGACACACUGGUUGGGAAACACUGUCCUAGACUGUAGAUAUUUGGUGUAAUGGGAGCGCUCACAUCUGUGCCAACACUGCCCAAACCUGUACGCAAUCUGUAAUCACCUUACAUUAUCAGACCAGGGCACAGAGAGAAGUGGCGUCUUCUUCAUACAUUUGGGGGGCACUCAGGACAGGCGCUCGACUGGUCGUUAAGCUGUUUCUAGGAUGGCAGUUAAAAUGGCUGCUGCAGCAUAACAGUUGUCAUAGCAACUGCUCCUAGCUGGACUGUACUACUACAGGAACAUAUAAACUGCCCCAAAAACACAGUAAAAAUGAUAAAGAUGGUAGCUAUAUGAUUGAAACAAAGAUGGGAAAGUGCUUUGUCUUCUUGCUCUCAUUUCUUUUAAUAUCAUCCAUUUCGCUGCCGUUGACCUGCUAGUUUAUUUUACCCACCAGUCAAUGGUUCAGUCCAGGCUUUUAUUUUCGCUUGGUAAGACUUUGCUGAUUGGUUAAUUUUACCUCUAUACUGAAAUGUAAUUAACCUCUUAAGAAUAGGGUCACACAGACAGGGCCGCCAUCAGGGGGGUACAGUAAGGGGCCCGGACCCUCAGGGGGGCCACUUGGCCCCAACACUCUUUCUUGCGAGGAGGGCAGCACACUGUCACUUUAAAAUGGCAGGGGUUGCAGUUGGUAUGAGACAUGCCUGUGCGCGGCUCUCAGUUACCAGCAGGGCCUGCUAGUAGCAGCUGGCCAGUGACGUCGGCUCACGUGUCCCUCCUCUUCCUGCCCAGUUCUGCAAUAGAGGAGCGGAGCAGCAAGCUACACUGCACACAGAUGUUAAGAGAUCCACAUGGCGGUCUUAUCCGGACGGAGAAGAAAAGGAAAGAGGACGCCGCUGAUCAGAAAAUACAUAAUUGAUCAGAAUCCGCUGACAUAGUGAGGAACCAUCUGGGCGUCAAGUUCUGCAGAGAGAAGAUUUAGCUGGAACAAG
Molecule: long non-coding RNA, 1516 nt
Organism: Hyla sarda
Lineage: Eukaryota; Metazoa; Chordata; Amphibia; Anura; Hylidae
Exons: 3
Source: RefSeq, a predicted model, not a curated record